GAUGAACGCUGGCGGCGUGCCUAAUACAUGCAAGUCGAGCGAACAGACGAGGAGCUUGCUCCUCUGACGUUAGCGGCGGACGGGUGAGUAACACGUGGAUAACCUACCUAUAAGACUGGGAUAACUUCGGGAAACCGGAGCUAAUACCGGAUAAUAUAUUGAACCGCAUGGUUCAAUAGUGAAAGACGGUUUUGCUGUCACUUAUAGAUGGAUCCGCGCCGCAUUAGCUAGUUGGUAGGGUAACGGCUUACCAAGGCGACGAUGCGUAGCCGACCUGAGAGAGUGAUCGGCCACACUGGAACUGAGACACGGUCCAGACUCCUACGGGAGGCAGCAGUAGGGAAUCUUCCGCAAUGGGCGAAAGCCUGACGGAGCAACGCCGCGUGAGUGAUGAAGGUCUUCGGAUCGUAAAACUCUGUUAUUAGGGAAGAACAAAUGUGUAAGUAACUAUGCACGUCUUGACGGUACCUAAUCAGAAAGCCACGGCUAACUACGUG
This 497-nucleotide ribosomal RNA is filed under the name uncultured bacterium. RNAcentral's name for it is "partial 16S ribosomal RNA". It matches the Rfam family "Bacterial small subunit ribosomal RNA", at positions 28 to 507 of the family's 1533-position model. The record is from RNAcentral.